GAUGAACGCUGGCGGCGUGCCUAAUACAUGCAAGUCGAGCGAACGGACGAGAAGCUUGCUUCUCUGAUGUUAGCGGCGGACGGGUGAGUAACACGUGGAUAACCUACCUAUAAGACUGGGAUAACUUCGGGAAACCGUAGCUAAUACCGGAUAAUAUUUUGAACCGCAUGGUUCAAAAGUGAAAGACGGUCUUGCUGUCACUUAUAGAUGGAUCCGCGCUGCAUUAGCUAGUUGGUAAGGUAACGGCUUACCAAGGCAACGAUGCAUAGCCGACCUGAGAGGGGGAUCCGGCAAACUGGAACUUGGAACCGGUCCAGAAUCCCAAGGGAAGCAGCCGUAGGGAAUCUUUCCGCAUGGGGGAAAGCCUGACCGAGGAAAGGCGCGGGGGUGAUGAAGGGCUUUCGAUCGGAAAACUCUGUUAUUAGGGAAGAACAUAUGUGUAAGUAACUGUGCACAUCUUGACGGUACCUAAUCAGAAAGCCACGGCUAACUACGUG
This 497-nucleotide ribosomal RNA is filed under the name uncultured bacterium. Its description in RNAcentral is "partial 16S ribosomal RNA". It matches the Rfam family "Bacterial small subunit ribosomal RNA", at positions 28 to 507 of the family's 1533-position model. The record is from RNAcentral.